RNAcentral lists this ribosomal RNA (497 nucleotides) under uncultured bacterium. RNAcentral's name for it is "partial 16S ribosomal RNA". It matches the Rfam family "Bacterial small subunit ribosomal RNA", at positions 28 to 507 of the family's 1533-position model. The record is from RNAcentral.
GAUGAACGCUGGCGGCGUGCCUAAUACAUGCAAGUCGAGCGAACAGACGAGGAGCUUGCUCCUCUGACGUUAGCGGCGGACGGGUGAGUAGCACGUGGAUAACCUACCUAUAAGACUGGGAUAACUUCGGGAAACCGGAGCUAAUACCGGAUAAUAUAUUGAACCGCAUGGUUCAAUAGUGAAAGACGGUUUUGCUGUCACUUAUAGAUGGAUCCGCGCCGCAUUAGCUAGUUGGUAAGGUAACGGCUUACCAAGGCGACGAUGCGUAGCCGACCUGAGAGGGUGAUCGGCCACACUGGGACUGUGACACGGUCCAGACUCCGACGGGAGGCAGCAGUAGGGAAUCUUCCGCAAUGGGCGAAAGCCUGACGGAGCAACGGCGCGUGGGUGAUGAAGGUCUUCGGAUCGUAAAACUCUGUUAUUAGGGAAGAACAAAUGUGUAAGUAACUAUGCACGUCUUGACGGUACCUAAUCAGAAAGCCACGGCUAACUACGUG